This 253-nucleotide ribosomal RNA is filed under the name uncultured bacterium. Its description in RNAcentral is "partial 16S ribosomal RNA". It matches the Rfam family "Bacterial small subunit ribosomal RNA", at positions 524 to 776 of the family's 1533-position model. The record is from RNAcentral.
UACGUAGGGUGCAAGCGUUGUCCGGAAUUAUUGGGCGUAAAGAGCUCGUAGGCGGCUUGUCGCGUCGGCUGUGAAAACCUGGGGCUCAACCCCGGGCCUGCAGCCGAUACGGGCAAGCUAGAAUUCGGUAGGGGAGACUGGAAUUCCUGGUGUAGCGGUGAAAUGCGCAGAUAUCAGGAGGAACACCGGUGGCGAAGGCGGGUCUCUGGGCCGAUAUUGACGCUGAGGAGCGAGAGCGUGGGGAGCGAACAGG